RNAcentral lists this transfer-messenger RNA (363 nucleotides) under Nitrospinaceae. RNAcentral describes it as "21-14-0-20-56-8 sp002796165 Standard tmRNA". It matches the Rfam family "transfer-messenger RNA". From Rfam's summary of the family: Bacterial tmRNA, also known as 10Sa RNA or SsrA, is named for its dual tRNA and mRNA-like properties. Lineage: Bacteria; Pseudomonadati; Nitrospinota; Nitrospinia; Nitrospinales. The record is from RNAcentral. RNAcentral also lists the same sequence under 1 other name.
GGGGGCGAACUGGAUUCGACGGGAGGGGUGAAACGAAGGUUGCAUGUACGGGACGCCGUUGGCCCGUUCAAAAAACGGCACAAUCAUAAUCGCCAACGAUUAUGAAGUAGCAGUAGCGGCUUAAUAAAAUAAGCUAGCUACCGUUCUUCCCUUCAGCGUCCGCGGGGAGGGAAAGAACGUCAUUUAGCGGACUGGUCCGGUUUACGGGUCUCGGGUAAACCGGGCGAGAUCCUACGAGGCUGGCUGUCGGAAAGCCCUGUCCCUGGGGAAUUCCGGUGGCGAGAUUAAAAACAGGGACUACACAUGUAGACGCCUUCAGUUAAAACCUUUCGGACGGGGGUUCGAUUCCCCCCGCCUCCACCA